GACGAACGCUGGCGGCGUGCCUAAUACAUGCAAGUAGAACGCUGAAGAGAGGAGCUUGCUCUUCUUGGAUGAGUUGCGAACGGGUGAGUAACGCGUAGGUAACCUGCCUUGUAGCGGGGGAUAACUAUUGGAAACGAUAGCUAAUACCGCAUAACAAUGGAUGACACAUGUCAUUUAUUUGAAAGGGGCAAUUGCUCCACUACAAGAUGGACCUGCGUUGUAUUAGCUAGUAGGUGAGGUAACGGCUCACCUAGGCGACGAUACAUAGCCGACCUGAGAGGGUGAUCGGCCACACUGGGACUGAGACACGGCCCAGACUCCUACGGGAGGCAGCAGUAGGGAAUCUUCGGCAAUGGGGGCAACCCUGACCGAGCAACGCCGCGUGAGUGAAGAAGGUUUUCGGAUCGUAAAGCUCUGUUGUAAGUCAAGAACGAGUGUGAGAGUGGAAAGUUCACACUGUGACGGUAGCUUACCAGAAAGGGACGGCUAACUACGUGCCAGCAGCCGCGGUAAUACGUAGGUCCCGAGCGUUGUCCGGAUUUAUUGGGCGUAAAGCGAGCGCAGGCGGUUUGAUAAGUCUGAAGUUAAAGGCUGUGGCUCAACCAUAGUUCGCUUUGGAAACUGUCAAACUUGAGUGCAGAAGGGGAGAGUGGAAUUCCAUGUGUAGCGGUGAAAUGCGUAGAUAUAUGGAGGAACACCGGUGGCGAAAGCGGCUCUCUGGUCUGUAACUGACGCUGAGGCUCGAAAGCGUGGGGAGCGAACAGGAUUAGAUACCCUGGUAGUCCACGCCGUAAACGAUGAGUGCUAGGUGUUGGAUCCUUUCCGGGAUUCAGUGCCGCAGCUAACGCAUUAAGCACUCCGCCUGGGGAGUACGACCGCAAGGUUGAAACUCAAAGGAAUUGACGGGGGCCCGCACAAGCGGUGGAGCAUGUGAUUUAAUUCGAAGCAACGCGAAGAACCUUACCAGGUCUUGACAUCCCGAUGCUAUUUCUAGAGAUAGAAAGUUACUUCGGUACAUCGGUGACAGGUGGUGCAUGGUUGUCGUCAGCUCGUGUCGUGAGAUGUUGGGUUAAGUCCCGCAACGAGCGCAACCCCUAUUGUUAGUUGCCAUCAUUCAGUUGGGCACUCUAGCGAGACUGCCGGUAAUAAACCGGAGGAAGGUGGGGAUGACGUCAAAUCAUCAUGCCCCUUAUGACCUGGGCUACACACGUGCUACAAUGGUUGGUACAACGAGUUGCGAGUCGGUGACGGCAAGCUAAUCUCUUAAAGCCAAUCUCAGUUCGGAUUGUAGGCUGCAACUCGCCUACAUGAAGUCGGAAUCGCUAGUAAUCGCGGAUCAGCACGCCGCGGUGAAUACGUUCCCGGGCCU
RNAcentral lists this ribosomal RNA (1369 nucleotides) under uncultured bacterium. Its description in RNAcentral is "bacterial SSU rRNA". It matches the Rfam family "Bacterial small subunit ribosomal RNA", at positions 28 to 1381 of the family's 1533-position model. The record is from RNAcentral.